UGGGGAAUAUUGCACAAUGGACGCAAGUCUGAUGCAGCGACGCCGCGUGAAGGAUGAAGGCCUUCGGGUUGUAAACUUCUUUUACACAUGAACAAGCCGCUUUUGGUGGUGAGGGUAGUGUGGGAAUAAGCACCGGCUAACUACGUGCCAGCAGCCGCGGUAAUACGUAGGGUGCGAGCGUUGUCCGGAAUUAUUGGGCGUAAAGAGCUCGUAGGUGGUGUGUCGCGUCUGGUGUGAAAACUGUCGGCUUAACUGGCAGCUUGCAUCGGGUACGGGCAUGCUAGAGUGUGGUAGGGGUAACUGGAAUUCCUGGUGUAGCGGUGGAAUGCGCAGAUAUCAGGAGGAAUACCGAUGGCGAAGGCAGGUUACUGGGCCAUUACUGACACUGAGGAGCGAAAGCAUGGGGAGCGAACA
RNAcentral lists this ribosomal RNA (414 nucleotides) under uncultured bacterium. RNAcentral's name for it is "bacterial SSU rRNA". It matches the Rfam family "Bacterial small subunit ribosomal RNA", at positions 355 to 774 of the family's 1533-position model. The record is from RNAcentral.